AUCAGAAGUGCGAAUGCUGACAUAAGUAACGAUAAAGCGGGUGAAAAGCCCGCUCGCCGGAAGACCAAGGGUUCCUGUCCAACGUUAAUCGGGGCAGGGUGAGUCGACCCCUAAGGCGAGGCUGAAAAGCGUAGUCGAUGGGAAACAGGUUAAUAUUCCUGUACUUGGUGUUACUGCGAAGGGGGGACGGAGAAGGCUAGGCUAGCCGGGCGACGGUUGUCCCGGUUUAAGCGUGUAGGGGGUGUGACCUGGUAAAUCCGGUUGCAUGCUAACCCUGAGGCGUGAUGACGAUGCACUACGGUGCAGAAGUAGUUGAUGCCCUGCUUCCAGGAAAAUCCUCUAAGCUCCAGGUAACAUUAAAUCGUACCCCAAACCGACACAGGUGGUCAGGUAGAGAAUACCAAGGCGCUUGAGAGAACUCGGGUGAAGGAACUAGGCAAAAUGGUGCCGUAACUUCGGGAGAAGGCACGCUGGCAUGUAGGUGAAGUCCCUCGCGGAUGGAGCUGAAGCCAGUCGAAGAUACCAGCUGGCUGCAACUGUUUAAUAAAAACACAGCACUGUGCAAACACGAAAGUGGACGUAUACGGUGUGACGCCUGCCCGGUGCUGGAAGGUUAAUUGAUGGGGUCAGCCGCAAGGCGAAGCUCUUGAUCGAAGCCCCAGUAAACGGCGGCCGUAACUAUAACGGUCCUAAGGUAGCGAAAUUCCUUGUCGGGUAAGUUCCGACCUGCACGAAUGGCGUAAUGAUGGCCAGGCUGUCUCCACCCGAGACUCAGUGAAAUUGAACUCGCUGUGAAGAUGCAGUGUACCCGCGGCAAGACGGAAAGACCCCGUGAACCUUUACUAUAGCUUGACACUGAACAUUGAGCCUUGAUGUGUAGGAUAGGUGGGAGGCUUUGAAGCGUGGACGCCAGUCUGCGUGGAGCCAUCCUUGAAAUACCACCCUUUAAUGUUUGAUGUUCUAACUCGGCCCCAUAAUCUGGGGUGAGGACAGUGUCUGGUGGGUAGUUUGACUGGGGCGGUCUCCUCCCAAAGAGUAACG
This 1041-nucleotide ribosomal RNA is filed under the name Serratia marcescens LCT-SM262. Its description in RNAcentral is "bacterial LSU rRNA". It matches the Rfam family "Bacterial large subunit ribosomal RNA", at positions 1281 to 2302 of the family's 2925-position model. The record is from RNAcentral. Lineage: Bacteria; Pseudomonadati; Pseudomonadota; Gammaproteobacteria; Enterobacterales; Yersiniaceae.